RNAcentral lists this non-coding RNA (30 nucleotides) under Mus musculus (house mouse). Lineage: Eukaryota; Metazoa; Chordata; Mammalia; Rodentia; Muridae. The record is from RNAcentral.
UAGUGCUGAAUACCUGUUCAUUCUGUGGGA